Clostridium sp. DMHC 10 is the source of this 426-nucleotide non-coding RNA. NCBI's taxonomy places the organism in Bacteria, Bacillati, Bacillota, Clostridia, Eubacteriales, Clostridiaceae. The record is from Rfam.
AGUCGAAGAAGGACGCGAUAAGCUGCGAUAAGCUUCGGGUAGGCGCAAAUAGCCUGUGAUCCGGAGAUUUCCGAAUGGGGAAACCCUCAUGAUUAACAUCAUGAACUGUAUACUGAAUUCAUAGGUAUACAGGGGCACACCCGGGGAACUGAAACAUCUAAGUACCCGGAGGAAGAGAAAGAAAAAUCGAUUUUCUUAGUAGCGGCGAGCGAAAAGGAAAGAGCCCAAACCGGAAACUUGUUUCCGGGGUUGCGGAUAGAUCACAAUGCUUAAUAUCUUAACCGAAUAUCUCUGGAAAGUGAAACCAUAGAAGGUAACAGUCCUGUAGGUUAAAAGAGAAAAAAGCCGAUCUACUCCAGAGUACCACGAGACACGUGAAACCUUGUGGGAAGCUGGGAGGACCACCUCCCAAAUUGCUGGUUUACU